Molecule: long non-coding RNA, 845 nt
Organism: Onychostoma macrolepis
Lineage: Eukaryota; Metazoa; Chordata; Actinopteri; Cypriniformes; Cyprinidae
Exons: 6
Source: RefSeq, a predicted model, not a curated record
UCAGUUCCAUAAUCUUUCAAACCAGCGUUUUUGCAGACAGCAUUUAUUGAGGCUCUAAUCUCAUUUCACAGGCGAUGCGCUCCUAAAAUCACAGAUUCUGUGGCAUUUCAUGUUGCUCUUCUUGCAGUGUGCAGCCUUGGUUUGGAAAGGGCAAACUCACCUUCGGAUGAAGCCACGCCCACAAAUUGCGAAGCUACUUGUUCAAAGUCUGCGACCUACGAUGAUUCUAGGCGGGAAAGAAGAAGAAGAAGAAGAAGAAGAAGAGAUUCUAGGCGGGAAACAAAGAAGCACGCUUCUUCAGCUCGACAUGUUGAGCAGGUGGGUCACGUUUCAGCACCAGGUGAAAGAUUGACGUUGAUGCUCUGUUAACUCAGGUUCCUGUGAAGCGCAGAGAUGAGGCAAAUCCGUGCUGGGAUUAUCUUCCACUUUCUCACCUUGCACAGGUGUGGAGAGCUGAUAUGGCCCAAACCCACAUGCUCCCGAUGCACCAUGGGAAGAAGCGGGACAGCUGUGAGAGGGAAGCCACAGAGGUAAGGGAAAACUGGUCUUGUUCAAUGGGUUUUUCAACCCAUGCUCCAAGUCCUGCUUUGUAGAAAGCUUUGAAGAGAGUCUGUUUGGCCGCGUGAUACUCCACUGCCACUUGUUUUGCCUCGUGGUAGGAGCCUGGCCAAGAUCCUCGGAUCCGCAGAGUCUCACUGAGCUGAGAGAGAAAUGCUUUACCUUGGCAUGUAGACAGACCCAGCGACUGUAGAGGGCGUGUUUACAGAGGUGAGACGGUCUUCCGAGAUCAUCUUUUCCUGUGGUGGCGUUAAUGAUCUCCAACCCCUGAUCGCCGACUGUCCAGU